This 15828-nucleotide long non-coding RNA is filed under the name Musa acuminata (dwarf banana). RNAcentral describes it as "long non-coding RNA (MACU_LNC007758)". Lineage: Eukaryota; Viridiplantae; Streptophyta; Magnoliopsida; Zingiberales; Musaceae. The record is from RNAcentral.
CUUGUUAUAGCACUUAAGGAUAAGAGAUAGAGUUAGUGUAUUAAGAAUGGACCUCCCUCGUCUGCCUCUGCUCAUGCAACAAAGUAAGAUAUAAUAAUAAGAUAUAAUAUAAUAAAAGAAAUCAUUCAUUUAGUAGGGUUCGCCCUUCCAUUUAGUAGGGGCCAAGUAACUACGUCAGUUAAAAGCGUUAGUCUCCGGUUUCAUUCCGACUUUCCUACUUUAGAACCAAUGGGGAGGCUAGUUACAUCUUCUAUAUCUUCUAUUAGGGUUAGUACGAGAAAACUCUCCCUUCAUUUGCACCCGGUUCAUUUGUUUCUUUCUCUCUUUCUCACUGGCGAAUAGGCAUACUACACUUGAGAACUGAAGCAGGGGGGGUAAACAGGCCCAAGGGAGCUAUCAAUAAAGGGUUUCUAAUGCAUUUCUAGGUUCCUCAGGGGGUGCUAAAUGAAAGAUUUGACAUAAAACGAGAAAAGUGGUUAAAUAGUGCAUUCUUAACCCUAUUCUUAGUUUUUGAGUAGAAUUACAAUACGAGGGAUAGGUUUGUGUCAUUACAAUUCCUGUUUUUGGGUGUUCUCUCCUUGCUCGGUUCUCUAUUUCUUCUUAGCUUAACAAAAGAACUUCAUCUUAUCCUCUGCACCCACUCACUCCCGUUCACUCAGUUAUUCUCUUAUAAGAGUUCCCUAGCGAUACAUCUGGUGUUUUCUUAGAUAUUAUCUUAUAUUAUUUCUUCUCUUUUUAGAGUCUGAUUUCUUCUCUUUUUAGAGUCUCGUCUUAGAUAUUCUCUUCUCUUAUUUCUUCUCUUUUUCGUGUUUAGGUCUGAUCGGAACAGUUUACUAAUCCCACGGUGCAGUGCGGGCGGGGUAAGAGGCUUCUCUUCUCCUCAAGUCUAUCUAAACCAUCAAUUCAUAUUGCCAACGUUCUUUUUCACUACUCUACUUUCAAAAGGUUCUCUAUCAGCUGGAUGUCUACUAAACGAAAACGAAUCCCAUUCAAGCAAAGAUAAGAAAGACGACGCUCCUGUCCUGGCAAAGUAAGCAAGCCCCUAUGAAAGAGAGGACCCUUCAAACAUAGCCUUUCUACCCUGAGACAAAAGCCAUCAAAGCCAUUAGCAAGGGAAAGCUUAUUGUAAGCUCUCGGAACUUACUUAUGAGGAGGAGACCGCGCCCUUCUUUCUUCACCGGCUAUCGAGAAGAGAAAAUGUAGCUAACUAAGCAUAAAGCUAAUCAACUUCAAUGCAGUGGAGUAAGUAAAUAGGCAGUGAACAAACACUCAAGGGAAGAUCAUGUCACUGAAGACCAAGCCGCGAGCUAGCUCAGUUAGAACGAAAUUCGAACUAGAUGAACCAGAAUCAGAUGUGUGAUAUACAUAUAUAGAAACACUUUUGUAGUACACCAAUUUAGUACACCAAUAAGAAAGGAGAAGAAGGGAUGCUUGAUUGAACUCGGAGAAACGAGACCUGAAAGCUGCUCCAUUGAAUUUAAUGGAUUGCCAGGAGAACCCAUUGGCUGAAUGAAGGCAAAGGAGAAGGAGAGAUAGAUGCUGGAUCGUAAUGGCACUCCUCUAUAUCAGGCUUAGCACUAUACCUUUGAUUCUGACUUGUUUAUUGACUUAUUCCACUUUGUAUUCUAUUAACUUAUAUUAACACAAACAAUAUAGUAUAUUAAAUGAAAUAGCUAACUACAACUACUAGCGAGAUUGAACUAAAGCUAACAAUACUUAUGCUCUAAACUAACUCCUUCAUUACUAGAACCGAUCUGUACUUGCUCUUAGUCUCACUGCACUAAUCCCUAUUCUCUUGUGUUAGCCCGCGACUCCCCGAUCUAAUAUCUGUAUUUGUAUACAAGCUAUUGACCUCAAUGCCUAUCUCCUGUUUUAGUCCGCCCUUACUAGAUCUCAUUCACACAUGAGAGGACAUGGGAUAGAAUACGAUGUGCUCGGCAACUAAGCUAUGGGUUGAGUCUACUUUAAGCAUCUAAUCUAAGCUAUGGGUUGAGUCCACUUUAAGCAUCUAACCUCUUAAGGACUAUUGGAUUGCCUUGUAGGUCUUAUUAAUGGGGUUAUUUGGAUUCUGUUCGGGUCAAGGAGAAAGUGGAGUUCAAUCAAUAGUAGAAGAUAGAAUACUUGGAAUCCACUGCUGCUAUAGUUGUCGAUGUAGACUUGAUUCGCCCCCCAAGAGAUUCCGUAUACUAGAAGAGGUGGGCAAGGGAAGCAGUUCAGUCAUAAUUUUGGACAUAGGUAUCGGAGCCAGCAGGGUGAUCGGACUUGCAACUGGAUACCCCGGUUUGAUUCUAAUUAAUAACCUGCCGCCAUGAACACCAACGGACACAGGUUCACUCUGGACAAGACUCUGUGCUAAGCAAGACUCAGUGUGCGGGAAGUGAAUAAAGAUGAAAUGUUGCUUGCAAUGCGAGUUGACUCAGCGUAAGAAGACUCACAGUGUGCGUAAGGUCAGAAUCAAAUAAAGGUAAGGAAGCGCGUCAUGGUCCAAGCAUCAAAGUCAAGUUAUAAAGUCGAGUUCGGAAGUCAACUGCAAGCUAAAAGUAUUGUUCAAGUGAUAGGGCAGGGCGAAAGAAUGGAGAACUAGAUAGGGCGCAAUAAUUAUAGUCUUCAUCCAGAUAAGCAGGCGCUUCAACAGUGUCCUUAAUUAAUUGGCGGCAGGGAGCUUAGAGACAAGUAAAGAAGCUAGUUCAAGAAACAGAAGAAUUGGAGUGACCCACGCCCCCUAUAAUUGAUAUUGGGAACCAACCAUGUGCUUUCCACUCCCAAGUUAGAAUUGCACUUGACCGGAGGAAAGAGAAUCACUAGUUUAUUGAACAAGUAAGUAUAAGAAUUAUAAGAAGCUACUCUCUAGCGGAAUAUGAAUAGUAAUAGUAUAAGGGUACUCUCUAGCGCAUUCAAUGAUCUCGACUUCAAGUUCCGUUUUCACCUGCUCAAACCCCUUCUCCAGCUGACGCCUCUGAUCCUUAUCUUUAAACAGGAACUGGCAACUUGACUUCCGCAGUUGAUCUUCAGUCAACUAAUAAUGAUUCUCUCCCCCACCUGCCUAUAAAGAAGAAGGAAAGGAAGGUGCUAAGAGCCUAUUGUCUAUACCAGAGGUGUCACAAUUCCAUUCUUAAAGCAACUACAAACUACUAAAAUCGAGCUGCUACUGAUGAGAAUGAAAACGGGGAAUAAAGAAUCAAACUAAGGAUAACAGGACUGAAUCCUAUCCUCUACUGGAAAGAAUGCACUACUAACCGCGUAGAUAAAACGACUAUUAUAAAUAAUACAAUAGACAGGAUGUAAACUACUAAUGGAAAGAAUUGCACUAGUGUUAACAAGGGCCAAGCAACGAGCCAAGCAACAGUAAGAACGAAACCACUACUAAUAAGAAUGCAACUUCCAUUGAUCAAGCAUCCGCUCCUGUUCGAACCCUUAAACAAAGAAUGGAAUUGCCUAGGAGCAGCUCCCCCUUCGGCUAAUGAUUAUCUUUAUUGUCCUGCUGGGAGCUUAAGAGCAAACUCGCAACUACUGUAUGAGUUAUCAAAAGUGCUGUGUUCGGCGCCUCUUUAUAUAAAGUCAAGAAUGGAAUUGCCUAGAACAGUUACACCCCCGGCAGUAGUAGCAGUUGUAGUAACACCUAUCUAUGGAGUUGGGGAGUUAGGUACAAAUAUUCCAUUAGUCCUGUCUUCGUAGAUGUUUUCAGCGGUAAGACAAAGAUAAGUAAGUCUCUAACCCUUUACUUGCUUACUUACUUGCUUGCCUGGAUAGAAAGAAGAUUCGAAAGGUUUUAGUCAAAUUGGAAUUCUUUUUGACCUCGCUAUUAGCUAAAAUGGCUUUGCUAUUAAAAAUACCGUGUUUUGGUGACUUCCAGAAAGAUACUUUACUUACCUUUGCCACACUUCAGAAUUUCCCCUUGCCGCCGACCUCACUUUCAGAUCCUGGCUCUGAUCCUGCUCCUGUCCUUGUUAUACUAGUUUAUUAUAUCACUUCCUAUCUUAUUGAAUUACCUAUCUGAGAAUUCCACUCAAAACUCAUAAUUGAUGUAAAUAACACUAGAGUAACUCAGAUCUAUCAUACCAGUGCGGGGAACACAAGAAUGAUUCUGUUUCAACUGCUUCCUCACCAGCUUCUGAUCCUGCUGACACAAACUCAUUAACUAUGACUUAUUCUUAUCAAGCAUCAGAUCUUUCCACUACUGAUUGAUUCAUUCUCAUCGCCAACAACAGGCUAGGCUGCAUUCGCCUCUCUCUCCUAUGGCUACCCGGUCCUGGCACAGCUACAACCUUCUGGUCUCUUUUCUUUUCUAAGCAUUAUCCUUAAUAAUAACAGAUUGCCCACCUCUUUGGGGCAUGAAGCACUACUUGGCCUACCUCUGUUACUGGGUUACUUAUUUCUAGAAUACCUAGCUCAUGAUUCCUUUCCUACUAGCUCUGAUACCUUAGCUUAUGUACUAGAUGCACCAAGUAACUACUAAUGUGUAGCGGCAGGAGUCUUUGCCAAUGCUAUCAGUCAAGCCAAGCAACUAGACAAGUAGCGUGACAGGAGCCCCGUUUGACGAGAAAACGCAUCUUUGCAUUCAACUACGAGGGGUUAGUUUCUAUCUGCAUUUCUUUCCCUGCCAUUCUUAUUGUAUGCCGACCUCGCCUCUUUAUUUCAGAUUCUACCUUGUCUCUCUCUCUCCUCUUUAUUUCAGAUUCUACGUUUCUUUAGAGCCUACAUCUAAGCUUAGAAUAGGGAUGUCCUUUUCUAACAAAAUGCACCAAUCAUACGAGAUACUAUGGAGGAAGCCCAAAGUCUGUUACUAGGCUCUAGUCGGGCACUUAUUAUAGGUCUAGUCGGGUGCUAAGAUGUUGGUUCGGGGGCAAGCGCUUAUUCUAUCAAAAUCCUGCUUCGUUUUCUGUUCCCGAUUCAAUCUGAACCUUUCCUGAAUGAAGAAAUAGAGAGAAAGACUGUGAAAAGCAGAGAUCUUUUCGUCGAGGAAGAGUAACUGAACUAAGUAUGCAUUCGGAAGCUUUAUCGGUAAUGACACCCCCUAUUGUGAAUGAUUAUUAUAGCUUUCCAGUCUUUGCCGCUGUUGCUUGAGCCGAUUGUGCAGAUCAAGUUCCUAUUCCAUUAUGGCGGUGAGCUUUCUAGCGGACUUACUCACUUUUUCGGAAGCUUCAAAUGGUCAAAAAGAUUCAUCUCAUCUUUUUCUAUGUCUGGGGGCCACCAUUACGGUAUGAAGUGCAGUGCUUUCUUUGACCUAAGAAUGCCAUUUCUUAGUUCAUCCCUAUUUCCGAAAGAAUCUUGCUUAGAUGGUAAAGUCUGACUCUUAUCUUUCCUUACCAAGAGGUGAUUCAAUCAAUGUACUUGCUUGUAGUUUCAAAGGUAUUGGCUUUGUGUAAAAGAGAUAAGAGAGCUCUUUCCUCUUUUUGAUAUAUUCUAUAAUUCUAUGAGAAAUGGAAUUCGGGAAGGUGCUAUACCUACCCUUACCUCUCUCUAGGUAAGCAAUAACAAUGACCUUCCUCCUAUUAAGUGUCCCUAAUCAAUUACCAGACUAAGACUUUGAUGUCUAGAUCACUACCCUCUCCAACACAGUCGAGCACUUAAUCCCUUGAUCCUAACCAAAGGAAUAGGGGAUAGAAAAGAGUUGCUUGAGAUUGACCAGCAUGCACUAGCUGAUAAUGCUAAGUUAUGGAGCACUUGUCUUCUAGCGGGAACCAGUAUAACAAGUAUUCCUCAAAAGGAUUAGGCUCCGGUGUGGAUGUCAUUCAGCUGCUUAUGGCUCGCUUUCUCUUUCCAUUCCAUUUCCACCUUGUUCACAGGCGAAUCAAGCUGCUAUCAAAGCUUGUCAAUCGAUUCUUUCAUAACCUUAACUCUCCAUUGCGAGUUCUUUGACUCUAUUCCAAAGAGUAGACUGGAAGACCAUGCUUGUGCGAGCGCCUUUUCCGAAGCCUCCAAUUCUUUUCAUUUUCUUCUGCAAUACGAGAUUUUCUCUUUUUUCGGUGGUGGAGCGAGGUAGACUCGGUCUUCGAAAAAGUCAUUUCAUAUAGAAAAGAGGGAUUGAGUCUGUCUUCUCUCCUAUAUUGAUAUUGGACAAGAGAGCUCCGGUGCUAUCUUUCAUGGACGAAUCCCCUGCUUGCUUGAUAAGAAAGAAGCCGCGCUAUUGAAUCAAUCAGCUGUGAACGAAUCGGAUGUAGCAAGAAUAAGUGCUUUGUUAUUGUUCUAUCUUUUUUCUUUCUUUUUCGCCCGGUUAGCCUUUCUUUGAAAGAAUACGGGGUUAGAGCCUAAUCAAAUAUGCCCAUUUUCCAAGAAGGAGCUGCACAUGAAGCAGAGAGUCCACUUGUGGGGGGAACAAUGAAAGCCUUAGGUAUCCUCGAUGAUGCUUUGUCACCCUCGAGAAUGCUUGUACAUGCCUAUGAUGAUUCCACUAGGAAAUGAAUCCGCAAAGGUAACGGUAACAAAUAAGAAGAAGACACGAAUUGAUGUUAUGGCACAGGGAACCCAGUCCUGCUUACGCGAUGGUGUGCUUGGACAGAGGGCUAACUGGAAUCUUCUUCGACCAGAAACCUUGGAUCUACUUGCUUGAACAGAGUACUCUCCGCCUCUGUUUAUCUGUUUACGAAUGGCCCCACAGGCCUAAGCGAUGAUGGCUCCAGGCCUAAGCGAUGAUGGCUCCGGCGUUCUUGGUCAAUGAUGUCGUUCACUUCUGACCUUCCCAUUUGGACUGUCAAAGGAGGCCGUCAAAGGUCAUUUGGGGGUGGGUUUACGAGAGGGCCUUUUCCCUUACUUCUCUUUCCUUCGCUUGGUAGACGAGUCAACGAUAGAGCGAAAGAAAUGCCCAUGGAGUACGACUCGCUAGAGCUCCUGCAGCCUCCGUGCCUAGAGAGCUGCCCCCCACUGAUCAAAGGAAUGAACGAUGGUGCGGAACCCUUUCUCGCUUUUCGGAAAUCAAUACGUGUACACCUUUGUCUUAAUACCGUCUAGCCGAUAUAAUUCCCCAAAUAGGCUUUCACUAAUGAAGUAGGCUUUCGACAAUGAGAGAUGGUAAGCCUUUCUUCCUUAGAUGCCUUGAAAGUGCCUAUUCUUUCUUUCCUUAGAUGCCUUGAAAGUGCCUAUUCUUUCGAGAAAUACUUUCUAGAGUUCUUCAGAUUCUCUCAUAAAAGAAAUAAAAGAUAGUGGGAGUUAAGAUUCGGGACUAUAUACUGGCUGCUAUCUCACUCUAUAAAGUCAAAUAAUAGAUGUGUAGAGCGCGGGCAUGCUUCGUCCUGUUCCUUUGCCCGCCGAGAGUUGUUAGUGGAACGCCCCUAAUUCCAUUCCCACUGAGGGGUUUGAAAGCUAUGGCGGGAAGUCUAUUUUCUCCCCAACUAAUUACCUUCACUCAGAAUUCUUUUGACUUGACAUUCGUUAUCCCCUCGACCCCUGUAUGUAGAGGCCUUUGAAGACCACUACUAAAUACAGAGGAUCUUGAUAGAAAGUGGUGCAGGAUUUCAUAUUUGUACAUUGAGUACAGCCAGGCAGUGGAAUUUGGAUCCUUCUUGCUCUGCUCCUCACUACAGCUGUUCGUGCAUAUGACGGGACCACUCGAACUGCGCAAGGUAGAGUUUAUUGUCAUCUCCAAGUGGGACCCCUUGUUCGGUCAACUCUAUUCCAUGUAGAGCAGAUAUCCUAUAAACAUAUCCAAUGUUGCUAGCACGACCUUGGAUCCACGCCAACUUGGUUGUAGCAUCCUCAUAUCAUAUCAGUAUCAAGUUUCCCAUGAACGCGUAAUGUCUCUACCUUGAUAGCUACCCCGUAAACCCAAGCUUCAUUCAAGUUCCGUCCCUUCUUAUCGAUCCUGUAUUGAUCUACCACCAUCCUUCUCUUUUUCAUGAUCUUUGGUGGCAGCCUCCGUUUCCGUGGCAACGGCGAAGAGCGGGAAUCACCUAAAAAGAAAGAGCUUCUUCCUUUGCUACAGAUGCCUAACUUAUUCCGUCUCAUCCUCAUACUUCGGUUCUAGAGAGCUGCCAAAAAUGGAUCUUUUGCUUCUCUUCUGACGGCCAACCACACGAUUCAAGCUAUGAGGAACUCGCCAAUGACUUGGAUUUCCACCCUUGCCCGGGAACAAAUGCUUCAAGGCUUUACUUCCUUGGUCCCGAUCGGCCGUUCCGAGUAGCAGGAGAUUACCUAACUACAGGACCCGAGUGAUCUUCUGCCCAUACUUUCUUUCCUUAAUGACCUUCCAGUGGCUAGGCACCAGCCAAGCAAUGCCUUGUGCGUUCCCCAGCCAUUAGCGGUUGUAAGAGCAGAAGUAGUUUCAAGAGAAGAAUCUGCUUUAGUUUACUCGGCGCUAACAGAGCCUAAAACAGGACGGACUUGCACCAACACAAGGAAUUGCCGGUUGGCUUUCCCCUACUAGCUUUGUUCUUAGCUUUCCAGAGUGGACCUCUGCUCUUUCACUUAUUCACACACAACACUUCUUGUCCCUAGGAAGGAAGAUCAUCCAGCUCUUUUCAAAUGUCAUCGUGUAUAUAUGAGCUUAUCUCUUUUCUCUUGCUCAUCUAAACAAACAGCCCACGUAACGCUUAAGUCUCAAGUGAGCGGACCUACUUAACGCUUUGCCAGGAUAAUCAAAUAUAGAAUAAGAAGAAGCUCAAGCAUAAGCAGAAACAGCAGAUAGAUCCGGAUCCGAAUAAGACAAGCAACAUCAGUUUACUAAGAAUCAUAUGUUGGAUCAGCAGCAAGAGAAGGAAAGUAGAGUCGACAAGAUAGGAUAGGCCAAAUCAAAGGGAAUAGAGUGAGUGUCUGUACUUCAAUCUAUACUUUGUGUGACUUAUCUCAAUUCCAUUCUAACUUCAAGUCCUGAGCGUUGUUGUUAUUGAAUUCUAUCAUGUGCUGUAGGAAAGAAAAGUGUUUCAAAGGUGAAAUGGCUGGAUCAGUUGCCCCCGCCUUUGGUCUAGCCGGAUCUGCUCCAGGGAAAGCUUCCGCAUCCUUACCCCUAUAAGCUUGAACUUCACAUUCAUUCCAUACCCGACAGAGAAAUGACAGUGGGAAAAACAGAAAGAAAUCAAUCCAGAAAUCAAGAAAACUGUAGAUGUAGAAAACUGUAGAUGUAGGGUCCCGAUGUUGCUUAUAGUACUUUACUAUAGUGGAGUAUGCUUAUUUGCGCUGUUCUCUUGCUUGUUUCAUAGAGUGCACCCCAUAUAGAGUCACUUAGUAACAAAACCCCGAAAACGGACUCAUUCUAGUCAAGAACACAAGUCCAACUAGUUUGCUGGGUGAAUUGAGGCAUCUCGAGUGGGUAGUUCACUGUGCUUGUUUGCGCUUACUGAGUUUAUAGAUCCCCAGAGGACUCUACAGAUUGACUUAGCGCUUCAACGCCCUCUUCUUUAUACGACGGAGCUCAUCUUUCUUUCCCGCUUCUUUGAUACAACAACGAUUAACUGUUUCAUCUCGGCAAAGCUUAUUCUCUGGUCGACCACUACUCUACUCAAUCAAGCACUCUAACGGAACUACAUUCAAAGCUAAGCAAAGGCGAGUCCGCCAAUCAAUCAAUCCGACCUUUUGCGCUUGAUACUAUUCUUUUACGGGACCUAAUCACUAUCGUUGGUGAGUUCCUAAGCCAUCUCAUUUAUCUGAAGUGAAGCAAGCCACCUUUUCAUCUUCAUCGAGUGCCCGGACCACAAGCUCCAUAUUCCAACACCUAUAUUGGAACUACAUCUCUUUCUCCUGUUCAACUUCAAGCAGAGCGGCUAAGAAGCUUCAAAGUCCGAUACGGAAGGCAGCUAGUCAAGUAAGAAAUAUGAUUAUAUGAACUGAGCUGAUAGUCAAGUAAGAAAUCAGAUUAUAUGAACGAACGACUCUAUUACUAAGAAAUAGGAAAUAGAAGUAACACACAUAAGAUAUAAGAAAAGUCAAGUAACCGAACUCAAUAAGUCAUAAGUGCAAUAGAAGUAAUAAGUGCACAAUAUGAUAGAAAUUGAGUCAAGCUCACUCCUUACUCCUUACUCUCCUCUUUAGUUAACAUUCUAUAAUAAGGUGAACCACCCCCUUAUUUCACUCGAACGUGUUCAUUCAUAUAAGUGCAAGAUGAGAGAAUUCCUUUUAGUAAAGUUAAUACACCGAUAUUAGAUCUUCCCUAUUGUGUACUUCGUGAAUUUGCCAAUGUUGAGUUUAGCGCUUUAACCAUUCAGCCAUGGAUAAGGAAUGGAAGAAAAGCUAGCAGCGGGAGAAAGCUUUAAGGUGCUUCAGAGAUAGGGCGGUUAUAGUAAGCUGGCGAGUUAUUGUGUUGUCCUAUCUUAUCUAUAAGCUCAUCUCUUUUCGAAUGCCCCCUGAUACAUAAAUUGUUGUAUUACUUGAGUGAAUUCUUAUUGCUUGAGAUUUACCUGCAGGGCACUAUCCGUCUCAGUUAUGGAGCACUUUAGUCUUCUCGCGGGAGAACGAAGCUCAAAAGAAUUAGGCAGAGGUGUGGAUGGAUCAGGCAAUAUAUUGGCCUAAGGGGUAAGGAUCUGAUUCCAGCACUAGUAGGAUCUUUCUCAUUUAGUUAACCCAGGCGACAGACGUAGACCUUCUUUUCUCGAGAGGUCCUUUGGUUAAUCCACGGCCUCCACUUUCUUCUCCGAAUACAGGAAUGGGGUCGUUGUGGGGAUGGCACCCUUUGAUCCCCAAAUAGGCUUUCUUAUCCCCUUGAAUGUCUCUCUUUUCUUUACUGCGAAAUGCAGAAAGGUAUGGUAGGGAGCCUCUCACUGCUUAUGGCUUGCUUUCUCUCUUUUUGAAUCACUUCCUUGUUUACAGGCGAAUCAAGCUGCUAUCAAAUUGUUUAAGCACCCGAAACUCUGACUUUCUUUCGGAUUGAAUUCUUUAUUAGUUGACUAUGGUAUAGGAGCAAUACUCGAUCAGAGGCUAGAUCCGGAGCUGGCUCCUCAGCGGGAAUGAAAUGGAAUAUAAAUGCACUGAUUCUACAAAGUCAUGUAGUAACAAAAACACAGCUUACUGAAUUUAUGGAAUUGGACCGAUUUGCUUCGAUCACUUCUCGACCGGGACUUCCUCCUAUAGAUAAGAUACCUGAGAGAUAGCCUAUAGAUAAGAAGAGAUGGAUCUAUGGGCAAGGAAGCUUAUUUCUACUUCCAGGCAAGGAAAGACGAAUCUAUUGUACUACCCCAAUGGAAGGGAAAGCUUACUGAGAUACCACCGAUACCCUAUGAAAGAGAGGGCAGAGGGGAGAAAUCAAGUGUUCCCUAAAGCCAGUUCUGUGUCUCCCUAAGUAGUGCUUUCCACUCAAAACUACGCGUACUUUCUUCUUUAUCUAAGCUAACUUUCUUCUUUAUAAUAAGUGAAGUGGAAUCUAUCUCUUUAAAAUAGAUCAUAUAUAUCGUUAAAAGGAGCCUUCCCACACCAACACCAGUGGGAUCAGUAGUUUUCUACCUUCUUUCUUAGGUCGGGGCAGAGUCAAUUCCAUACAUAAAUGUGCUAUUGCGGUAAGUCAACUAUGGUACACAGGAUUAUGACAGAUUUGGACCGAUUUCUUAUGACUUUAACCUUAACCAACAAGCACCGAAUUAACCAGUAAAGCCUAACUGCUUCCCCACUUUAUACUGUCUCAACUACAAGAUCUGCAUUAGCAGUAGGAUCCUCUUCUUAGGUUCGAGUGUUGGCAAUGUAGUUAGUUUUGUCGACUCGAGUGGUUCUGCUCGAGCUUUGUCUGCAUCUGCAAGAGAGGUUCCAGUCGAGGAAAGUCUAGGUUCGGGCAAUAAUAAAGUACUGGAUUUGACUAAGCACAGAGAGUUCCAGAAGCAUAAGAAGCAGGAGCUGUUUUCAGAUCUUCAGCAGCAUAAUUGUCAAUUGAAAGUAUUGUUUCAGAAGAUGCAAGAGCAGAUGCCGUUCUAAAGUAAUCUGUGUUUGCAACUCGAUAAGAUGCCUCAGAAAGAUCAUAAGUUGGGUAAUAAUAUCUUACUAGCUUUGAUGCGGGUGAGGAAGACAGUUACUUGUCCGCUUGCAGGGCAGAGCCAUAGGUAUAGGAGCCGAGCCGGAUUAAGGUAUAGUUUACAGAGGUAUCGUAGCCCUAGGGAUAUCAUAAGAAAGGUAGAGAAUGGAGUUUACUACCCGGUAUUGAACUAGUAUUUCACUAAGGAAUAGGCCAAGCAACGUAGCUAUAAGAACAUCCCCUACUAUUAAUAAGAUAAUAUAUAAUUAUGUGUACAGUGUAUGUACUGUGGAAAUUGAAGUAGUUUAUCAUCUGAGUGUAGCUAUCUCGUAAACUCGGUAAAGCCUUUCAAAACUCAUUCCAAAAUAUUGAUGAAACCUAACCGCUGAACUAUAACAGGCUAUUCUAAGGCUUCUUCUCCUAUAACUUGAACUUUCGAAAAAAGAGUCCAAAGAGCCAGAGGAGUCAAAAGAGCUGCGCUACCACUACCAAGAAUGGUGUUUACUGAACACUUAAGGAAUCGAUAAAGUCAACAGAAAAACUACGGAAAUUGAUCCUAAACCUUUAAGAACAAAUAGGCGCCCCGAACACACAGGACAGAUUCCACUGCUCUGCUUUGAGGCGAGGUCUAGGUAAAGUACUGGCUCUGGCUCUUCUCCACUGUAAACUUGAACUGGGCAUUCACUUAGAGCUUCCAAGCAUGGAAUUUCUUCUUACCAACACCCGGAUACUUCUCUUGGAGACUCACUGUUUUCGGGAGCUCAACAAAGUAUAUAGUCAAAGUCUAGAGCAAGUCCCACUUCUUUGACAACUUUCUUUCAUUCCUACUUCUUUGUCUAAGUCUAAUGCCUAUUGGUUUCCAUCCUUUGUUAGCGAGGUAAGCCUUAUUAGUCGCAGUGAAAGCGUGAGUUCCAACCAGGAGUCUUGCCCAUAGUAGUUGACUUCCGAGUUAGCAGUGAAAGCCUUAGUUCUUAGUUUGAGCAUUGUAGUUAUUGGCUCUAUUCCUUGUUGUUGAUUUGAUUCUUUCUAAUAGUCGUUUUCAAGCCUGAGUUCAGAGUCUGAUUGGUAGCGGUUGAUUAUGCCCUAAGUGCAAUUGCUGUUAUCAGUGUUUUGACUCUUAUAGUUAAGAAUUGCCGUCUCAUAGUUAGUAGCUCAAAUCUUAUAGUUAGUAGCUGGGUGCGCUAGAUCAUAUCUGUAUUCUUUAUUCCCCAUUUCAUUCUUAUAUGAAGUAGUGUUUGGCCUUAGAGCCAGGAAAGACUAACUAACAGGCGAAUAUAGAGGAGAUCCUUAUCAGCAAUACCAGAAUCAAAGAUAGGGUAGCGAGGCAGUUAGGAAAGAGAGAUAGGUUUAGAUAUAGGGUCGUAGGCCCGAGAGCCAGUAACUACAGGAACCAAACAAGGAUUUGCAGUUGGAAAGCAAGGUUUGAUACCAGCUGUGGAGGCCCUAGUUCCGAGUUCGAGUGUUACCAGUAGUAGUGAAAGCCCUGUUUGUUGAUAUGAGUUAAAGUAUCAUAAGCACUAGUCCCAAUCUUGUAGUAGUGGGUUCCAGCCUCGACCCUAGUAGUUGUAGUUACCAAAGCAAGGAGCAGUUCACUCGUUCUGGGGUUAUUGAUUUUUGUCUUAUAGCUAUGAGUAGAAGCCUCAUUAGUAGUACCUCAUUUCAAGUGAAAGUCUCGUUGUGGCUCAUUCCUGGAGUGACUAGUUUUCAUUCUUACAAGCAUGGGUUUCAAACUCUCUGACUUCCUUAUUAGUGGGAUUCCCGCCAGUACUGAUUGAAUUCCUUUUCAUAAGAGAAAGUAUUAGAAACACUAGUUCACGUUCUUUUGAGUAUUGGUUGAAGUCCUAUAUUGUCAAUAAGGAAUGAGUGUUAAGGGAGGCAUACUAUAAUAUAAGGUAAUAAAGUAGAUAAGUCAGAAUAGCAGUUAUAGUGCAAAGAACGAUAUAAAGUAGUUGAGGCUGAAGAGCUAGCUGGAGUUUUAAGGCUAAGAAGUCAAAAAGGUGAACUAAAGUCUUGUUGACGGUGGUUUCCGGACUAGGAUAAGGUAGUGUCUGGCUCGGGAGUGAUGCAAUAAGGCUGGGUGGACAAAAGAAGAAGGCUUGGAACUGGACAUAGAGAAUAAGGCUUGGCGAAGAGGUGAGCUAUAAGGAUUGACUACCUGGUGAGUUAGGCUUGUCCCUCUUACGCGGGGGUAAGGUUUGAUUGUGUGACGAGUCAGUGUUGUUGGCAGUGUUAUCCGUCGUGAUUUCAUUCCUUCCAGUAGACGCCAAGCUUAGUUGUAAGUGUAGCUAAAGGGAGCUAAUGAGGCAAGCUACUACUCUAGUUCUGGGUUAGCAGAAUAAACAGGAUCCGUGUUCAUAAUCAAGAUAUUAAGCUUCAGAAUGGCCUGUUCCUGUUGAGUUAGAAGCUUACGGAGUUCCGUGUAUCAGAAUUCUUUGUUGCGAAUCACUUAUUUACCCACGUAGCAGUUAAGUUGAAAGAGAAUGAACCUUAGAAAUAGAAAGAUUAGAUAAGAGGGUAGUAUAGACCCACCUGGUAAUUAGCCAGAGGAUUGAGCUCCUAACACGCUUAACCUAGAUCCACUAUAAGCACAAGCAGGUAAUUUCAUGAAAUAAGAAAAGGUUUCUAGUAUAGCAUAGAAGCGGGUAGUAUUCAAUCAAGAUAAUCUUAUUCCAGUGUCGGUCGAGUCAGAAUUCUCUGCAUACGAUGGAAAUGUUGUUUCUGUUUGAAAGGAAGCUACAAUUCCAGUUGUUUAUGAAGUAGACUGUGCCGAGGAAGGCCUCUUUCUCGUCCUUGAACAUAGGGGAAACUAGUUAAUGGAAUGGCAACCCUAUUAAACAACUUAUCUGCUACACUAAUGAAUUGGAUACUAAUAUCUUAGCUUUGAAGCUCCCUAUCUUAGCUUUGAAGCUCCCGUAAGCGGUAGAGAACAGGAACUCUACUUUGAUUUCAGAAUUCUCCUUUCAUAGCUGCUUCCUUUGGCACUGCUGGCUUUCAGGCUCUUCUACGGCUUAGCCUCUCAUCUUUGCUUUCGAACUCAAACAUCAAAUUCUUCCUCACCAAGAUCCCAGAUCCAGCUUUUACGCCUAAUUGAUAGUUUUAGGCUGGAACACCAUAUCCUUGCUUCUCUUGAAACAGUUUCUUCUCCUUCUCCCGAUGCAGAAAGGAUUUGCGCAAGAGACUUUUGAUACCUAACAGUUGAUUCUGCUUACUUGGGGACAGCUUCCCUUUUGCUUUAAGAUUCCUCUCCUUAUCCUUAUGAUUCUCUAGCUUCUUUCACUUGCAACAGCUUCGGCUUUAGACUCAGAUCCAGCAUCCUCUGAUGUCUACCUUUGAAUUGAAUAUCUCUCUUAUUUAGCAUCUGGUAUAGAAUGAAAUAAAGGUGUCGAACAGAAACUGCAUUAACUCCUCGUCGACAAAGAAUUCUUCAAUAAGGUUGGAUUUCUCAUUAGCUACGUUUCCCCGCGAUGAAAAAAGGGUAUACAAAGGUCUCUGUGUUGGGCCGUUCGAGCAAGGAUCGUUGGGAGUUCGGAUAGCCUUACUGAUCUAUAAGUCAGUUAAGAAUAUCGGCACCACCAAGAGAAUUGAGAAUCUAGAAUUGAGAAUAUCAGCAUCCCCAAGAGUCAAAGAGUAAGCUAAACUCAAUCAAACAUCAAUUGUGGAACGAGAACGAACAAGCAAGGGUGCAAAGGGAAAGGCGGAAAACGGAACUCAUUGUCUCACUUACCGCUUUUUAAGGGCUGAUGAUCUCUCUUCCGCUUCUGCACUUCCAUCUUUUCCUGUUUUCCUCGGUGUACUAUAAUCAAUGAAGUCUUAGCUUACUGAUGGAGAGUCAAAUUGAUAUGAAUGAGCAAGCCGGCUAAAAGAGUUACUGUUCCAUUAUCAGCUGAAAGUAGUGGUGUUGUGUCUUUACGUCAAUCUAUACCUUCUGGCAAAAUAGAACCAAGUCCUGUUAUAACCAAGUCCUG